RNAcentral lists this long non-coding RNA (405 nucleotides) under Homo sapiens (human). RNAcentral's name for it is "HSALNT0396591". The record is from RNAcentral. Lineage: Eukaryota; Metazoa; Chordata; Mammalia; Primates; Hominidae.
UCACAAUGCCCCUUGUGACUUUGGCCAGGCAUGAGAGUCAGAACACAUAGGUGCUUGGUUCAACUAUAUGUCACUAUCCCAUUUGUGGCCUUGACCUAGGUGAGAGAGUCGCAUGACCUAUGGUCUGGGCCCAGGUAUAUGUCACAAUGUUCUCUGUGGAUUGGGCCCAUGCAGGACAGCCACAUCACCUUAAUUCCUGAGCCCAGGUCCAGGCAAAGUGUAACAUCACCUAGGUGCUGGACCCAGGUACAUGCCACAAUCUACCCUCUGGGUGGGACCCAGGAGGAAGAGCAACACAACUCAGAAGAUGGGUUCAGACAAUCAAAGUAGCACAAGCAAAGCCAGAAAUGCUCCACCCUGAUUGCAAACACACCAGUGCCCUUCUAGUGAGAAUAUAUGUGUGAG